CCCGCCCACGUCAUGGCGCCCGAGGAGAACGCUGGGACCUAACUCUUGCUGCAGAGUUUGCAGCGCCGCUUUCUGGCGGCGCGCGCGCUGCGCUCCUUCCCCUGGCAGAGCUUAGAAGCAAAAUUAACAGACUCAUCAGAUUCUGAGCUUCUGCGGGAUAUUUUGCAGAAGACUGUGAAGCAUCCUGUGUGUGUGACGCACCCGCCGUCAGUCAAGUAUGCCCGGUGCUUUCUCUCAGAACUCAUCAAAAAGCCCUCAGGAGGCUCAGUCACACUCUCCUAGAGCACAGCCAUCAUCUCCCAGGCAUCACAGGCCUGGUCACAUGGGAUGCUACCCUCUACCUUGCAGAAUGGGCCAUCGAGAACCCGGCAGCCUUCACUCAUAGGACUGUCCUAGAGCUUGGCAGUGGUGCUGGCCUCACAGCCCUGGCCAUCUGCAAGAUGUGCCGCCCCCGGGCAUACAUCUUCAGCGACUGUCACAGCCGGGUCCUCAAACAGCUCCGAGGGAAUGUCCUUCUCAAUGGCCUCUCAUUAGAGGCAGACAUCACUGCCAACUUAGCCCCAGAGUGACAGUGGCCCAGCUGGACUGGGACAUCGCGAUGGUCCAUCAGCUCUCUGCCAUCCAGCCAGAUGUUGUCAUUGCAGCAGAGCCAUGCUUGUGUCUUUCAGAGACCACAGGAGGAAAACAACCACUUCUGGGAUGAGGACAGGGCCCUUGAGAGAAGGUGGUGUUUGGCUGGGCCGCCAAAAACCCCUCGCCCCUGCCAGCACACUCAGUCUCCUCUCUGGUCGAACAGAGCUGUGCCUGUUGUCCUGGGUCCCAGCCCUGAAAACCACAGGUCCAGCGGUGGCCAGGGACACAGGCCCACCCCUGCAAGCCAGCAGACAAAUCGGCAGACGCCUGAAACACGAAGUUCAUGGCAGGGUCAGGCUUUGUGUCAUUCACAGCCCUCUAGAUAGGCUGAGAACCAGAGCUCGUUUUUUAAGGAACACCAACGUGCUGUAUUGCCCAGAAGCCAUCGUGUUGCUGGUCGGGGUCCUGCUGAGGCUGGCUGCCUGCCGGGAGCACCAGCGGGCUCCUGAGGUCUAUGUGGCCUUUACUGUCCGCAACCCAGAGACAUGCCAGCUGUUCACCACCGAGCUAGGCCAGGCCAGGAUCAGAUGGGAAGUGGAACCUCGUCAUGACCAGAAACUGUUUCCCUAUGAAGAGCACUUGGAGAUGGCAAUGCUGAACCUCACACUGUAGGACUCACACACGACUCCAAUGGGAUUGUGAGAAUCAAGUCACUCUCAAGGGAAGAGGUUUCAUAUGGGAAAGCUGAUAAAACUUUCACUGGACUGGAAUGUUUGGAGAAUGUUAAUUUCCAAAUCAGGAACUACAAACUGCCCUCUAAUAAGACAUCGGCUAUCUAAGCGUGUGGGUGCUCCCUUUCUGCCAGCAGUUCUGGUUCUUAAGGAAAUCGCCAUCACUCAGACAUGAAAACUCUGGCUCCAAAAAUAGCAUUUUCUUUGUGCAAAUAAAAACGUGUGUAUCAAGUAUGUGGACACACUCGGUUCCUCACAAAGCCAAGCCUGCUGCAGCUGCCACAUCCCUGGACACACUUGGUUCCUCACAAAGCCAAGACUGCUGCAGCUGCCACAUCCGCGGACACACUCAGUUCUUCACAAAGCCAAGCCCGCUGCAGCUGCCACAUCCCUGGGCUUACGAUGCAGCAGGUGCUUUUUUCAAGACAGGAAUCAAAAUGUUAGGAACACGGCAGAAAGGUGACACCUGGAGACCAAACGCAGGAUAAGGAGUACUGCAGAGGUCACAGGGAAGUCACAGAACAGUAAUACGCUAGCAGGGGCAUGGGGCAUGAAGAACAGAAGAAGAGAGGAAGUGUUUCCGAGCCUCCGGAAAAGAAAUCAGAGCCAAGCACAGCUUCCCGGGUCACAGAACCAAUUCAUUCACCAGGCGGCACCACUGCCGUCAUUUCAGCUUCUGGCCACUGGGAGGCGCUGCUCAAAAGGGUUUGCCCUGAGACUCCGAGAAGAAGCUGCGGGAAGGACAGCAGGGGUCCCGGGGUUUUAGCCUCUGGCCCAGGAGUUGUAUGUCCAUAACCAAAGGGAGCACAGUCUGCACCCAGCUCUCAUCCCAUCGGAGCUGCUGCGACUCCCGCAGGUUCUUCCAAAACUGGUUUAGCUUGCCUGCAGGAUCAGGAAAGUUUGAGAAAAGCAUCUGCAAAAAAAUAAAGAGCAGAGCUUACCUCAUUGCCUGUCCCCACCCCAUCCCAGGUCACCACCUGGCUGACCCCAGGUCCCCGACCCAACAACAACCCCUCCCAAGUUCCUAACUCUCUCACUUGGACUCGAGACUCUUCACGCCCCAGCAGCGCUCCGCCUCCAACUUGACAUCAUGCUUUCUGGAAACUUCCCCGUAUGUCCCACUUUCCCACACUUGGUGCCCUGGAGCACCUCCCGGCCUCUAACGUGCUGUAUGUUCCCCUGCGAGCACCCUCCUCUUGGCCUCUGGCCAAGUCCCACCCAUCUGUGGGUAACAAGGGGGUGUCGGUGUUCUUUUCAGCCUUGCUAAACUCUCUGAAUCAAGGAUCACAAACUACAGCCUGCAGGCCAAAUCCAGCCCACAGCCUGUGUUUGUAAAUAAAGUUUUAUUGGAACAAA
Molecule: long non-coding RNA, 2660 nt
Organism: Homo sapiens (human)
Lineage: Eukaryota; Metazoa; Chordata; Mammalia; Primates; Hominidae
Gene: FAM86JP
Product: family with sequence similarity 86 member J, pseudogene
Source: Ensembl